RNAcentral lists this ribosomal RNA (644 nucleotides) under Sphingomonas sp. Air340. RNAcentral's name for it is "bacterial SSU rRNA". It matches the Rfam family "Bacterial small subunit ribosomal RNA", at positions 68 to 758 of the family's 1533-position model. Lineage: Bacteria; Pseudomonadati; Pseudomonadota; Alphaproteobacteria; Sphingomonadales; Sphingomonadaceae. The record is from RNAcentral.
GAGACCUUCGGGUCUAGUGGCGCACGGGUGCGUAACGCGUGGGAAUCUGCCCUUGGGUUCGGAAUAACUUCGGGAAACUGAAGCUAAUACCGGAUGAUGACGUAAGUCCAAAGAUUUAUCGCCCAAGGAUGAGCCCGCGUAGGAUUAGCUAGUUGGUGAGGUAAAGGCUCACCAAGGCUACGAUCCUUAGCUGGUCUGAGAGGAUGAUCAGCCACACUGGGACUGAGACACGGCCCAGACUCCUACGGGAGGCAGCAGUAGGGAAUAUUGGACAAUGGGGGCAACCCUGAUCCAGCAAUGCCGCGUGAGUGAUGAAGGCCUUAGGGUUGUAAAGCUCUUUUACCCGAGAUGAUAAUGACAGUAUCGGGAGAAUAAGCUCCGGCUAACUCCGUGCCAGCAGCCGCGGUAAUACGGAGGGAGCUAGCGUUGUUCGGAAUUACUGGGCGUAAAGCGCACGUAGGCGGCGAUUUAAGUCAGAGGUGAAAGCCCGGGGCUCAACCCCGGAACUGCCUUUGAGACUGGAUUGCUAGAAUCUUGGAGAGGCGGGUGGAAUUCCGAGUGUAGAGGUGAAAUUCGUAGAUAUUCGGAAGAACACCAGUGGCGAAGGCGGCCCGCUGGACAAGUAUUGACGCUGAGGUGCGAAA